UCCACGCCCUAAACGAUGUCAACUAGGUGUGUGAGAGUCUAACUCUUGCGUAUCGAAGCUAACGCGAUAAGUUGACCGCCUGGGGAGUACGGUCGCAAGACUAAAACUCAAAUGAAUUGACGGGGGCCCGCACAAGCGGUGGAGCAUGUGGUUUAAUUCGAUGCAACGCGAAGAACCUUACCUGGCCUUGACAUGUACGGAAGGCUUUAGAGAUAGAGCUGUGCCGGGAACCG
This 233-nucleotide ribosomal RNA is filed under the name uncultured bacterium. Its description in RNAcentral is "partial 16S ribosomal RNA". It matches the Rfam family "Bacterial small subunit ribosomal RNA", at positions 794 to 1029 of the family's 1533-position model. The record is from RNAcentral.